This 1170-nucleotide long non-coding RNA is filed under the name Gadus morhua (Atlantic cod). RNAcentral's name for it is "lncRNA (ENSGMOG00000030190.1)". Lineage: Eukaryota; Metazoa; Chordata; Actinopteri; Gadiformes; Gadidae. The record is from RNAcentral.
AUGGUUGGGUUCUACCAGCAAUUCUUUGAGGGCUACUCGAAGAUCAGCAAGCCCCUCUUUGCACUUACCCCUGGAGUCAAGAGGCCACGUUACAGUAAGGGGAAGAGGAAGACGCCUGUAACAAGGAAACUUACCUCUGCUGACUGGACAGCGGAAUGCGGAGAGGCUUUCAAGAGGCUAAAACUAGCUUUGCUAGAUAAUGCUGCUCUGGCUCACCCAGACUUCAGCAGGCCCUUUUUGCUCUCGGUGGACGCCUCCUCCAAUGGUCUGGGUGCUGUGUUAUCUCAACUGACUGAGGGGGAUAAUGUAGCACGUCCGAUUGCAUUCGCCAGCAAAUCUCUCAACUAUGCCCAGUCUCGCUACCCAGCACAUAGGUUGGAGUUUCUGGCGCUCAAAUGGGCUGUCUGUGACAAAUUCAGCCACUGGCUGAGAGGCCACACGUUUACGGCAUGGACGGACAAUAAUCCGUUGAGCUACAUUCUGAGUAAGUCCAGACUCGAUGCUUGUGAACAGAGAUGGGUGGCUAAGCUCGCCCCGUUCGACUUUGAAAUAAGAUACAUCCCCGGUCCUAGGAAUGUUGUGGCGGACGCCCUCAGCCGGGAGCCUUUUGUGCAGCCCAGUAUGCUUCAUCGUCUCACCAGGGUCCCGUAUGAUGCACUCAUGGAGGAGGCGAACGCCUUGAACCUUGACAGUGUACAGGAUGCGUUCCGUCAAUCCUGCAAUCCGCGAGUCAUGCCAUCUCUCAGCAGUGCUGUGGCAGUGUCCUUGAGCCCUUCCGUUUCCAAUCAGGCCGUCUCUGCUGUCUUAGAGCGGUCAUUGGGCCAAGAGCAUGUGCCUCCCCAAGCCUUUCUCCUUCCUCAGCUUGUGCAAUCCAUCCAACCACGUGAGCAUUCCGACAUCCGUCCCUUGCCUAAAGAGACGUUGAUGGCUUCACAACGUGCAGACCCUUGCUUGAGUCGGGUGCUUCACUUUGUGGAGAGGCAGAGACGUCCAUCAAGGCGUGAGCGUGGGCAUGAGCCAGCUGACACUUUGAGGCUCCUCAGGCAUUGGGAGAAACUUUCCAUCAAACAAGGCGUCCUCUAUCGUGAAGGAUGUUGUCACACAGCGGAAGACGUACCAGUAUGUUGUAACCUUGGUACUGAGGGAAGAGGUCCUCAGAGGUGUGCAUGA